CACUAGAGAGCUAUCCAGCGUCGGCCUUUUAAUCCGAAGAGAAUAAUAUUUAUUUCUAGUGA
This 62-nucleotide transfer RNA is filed under the name Escarpia spicata. Its description in RNAcentral is "tRNA-Lys". Lineage: Eukaryota; Metazoa; Annelida; Polychaeta; Sabellida; Siboglinidae. The record is from RNAcentral.